AUCUCAAAUCAGGUAGGACUACCCGCUGAACUUAAGCAUAUCAAUAAACCGGAGGAA
This 57-nucleotide ribosomal RNA is filed under the name uncultured Thelephoraceae. RNAcentral's name for it is "partial 28S ribosomal RNA". Lineage: Eukaryota; Fungi; Basidiomycota; Agaricomycetes; Thelephorales; Thelephoraceae. The record is from RNAcentral.